RNAcentral lists this long non-coding RNA (331 nucleotides) under Prunus persica (peach). RNAcentral describes it as "long non-coding RNA (PPER_LNC001252)". Lineage: Eukaryota; Viridiplantae; Streptophyta; Magnoliopsida; Rosales; Rosaceae. The record is from RNAcentral.
AUGUAAGAUUUCAAGCUACGAUGCCUACUUCGAGACCAUCCAGUCCAGGAAAAAACUACCUCGUUCGCUGCAAGAGGUUUUAACAUCUGCAUUUGCAAAAAUUCCUGUUUCAUCUUUCCCGGGAGUACCUGAAGGCAAAGGUAACAAUUCAUCGCUGUCUCAUUUAUGUGGACAAUAUAGGAAUUGAAUGAGAUAACUAAAACAGUAUUACAUUAUUAUCUGCAGUAAUUGAGAUUGGAGCAGAUGCAUCUGUCAGUGAUGCCGUUAAGAUUCUUUCCGAACACAACAUUUUGUCGGCUCCUGUGACAAACCCAGAAGCAGAAACAAGUUC